This 510-nucleotide ribosomal RNA is filed under the name uncultured bacterium. RNAcentral describes it as "partial 16S ribosomal RNA". It matches the Rfam family "Bacterial small subunit ribosomal RNA", at positions 28 to 507 of the family's 1533-position model. The record is from RNAcentral.
GACGAACGCUGGCGGCGUGCUUAACACAUGCAAGUCGAACGAAGAGCGAUGGAAGCUUGCUUCUAUCAAUCUUAGUGGCGAACGGGUGAGUAACGCGUAAUCAACCUGCCCUUCAGAGGGGGACAACAGUUGGAAACGACUGCUAAUGCCGCAUACGAUCUGACCUCGGCAUCGAGGAUAGAUGAAAGGUGGCCUCUAUUUAUAAGCUAUCACUGAAGGAGGGGAUUGCGUCUGAUUAGCUAGUUGGAGGGGUAACGGCCCACCAAGGCGAUGAUCAGUAGCCGGUCUGAGAGGAUGAACGGCCACAUUGGGACUGGGACACGGCCCAGACUCCUACGGGGGGCAGCAGUGGGGAAUCUUCCGCAAUGGACGAAAGUCUGACGGAGCAACGCCGCGUGAGUGAUGACGGCCUUCGGGUUGUAAAGCUCUGUUAAUCGGGACGAAAGGCCUUCUUGCGAAUAGUUAGAAGGAUUGACGGUACCGGAAUAGAAAGCCACGGCUAACUACGUG